This 72-nucleotide transfer RNA is filed under the name Stegodyphus mimosarum. It matches the Rfam family "tRNA". From Rfam's summary of the family: Transfer RNA (tRNA) molecules are approximately 80 nucleotides in length. Their secondary structure includes four short double-helical elements and three loops (D, anti-codon, and T loops). The record is from Rfam by way of RNAcentral. Lineage: Eukaryota; Metazoa; Arthropoda; Arachnida; Araneae; Eresidae.
GCCUUCGUGGUGUAAUGGUCAACUCGUUGGGCAGUAUUCCAGAGGUCCGUGGUUCGAGUCCCGGCGAAGGCA